RNAcentral lists this ribosomal RNA (301 nucleotides) under uncultured bacterium. Its description in RNAcentral is "partial 16S ribosomal RNA". It matches the Rfam family "Bacterial small subunit ribosomal RNA", at positions 509 to 807 of the family's 1533-position model. The record is from RNAcentral.
CAGCAGCCGCGGGAAUACGUAGGGGGCAAGCGUUAUCCGGAUUUACUGGGUGUAAAGGGAGCGCAGGCGGUUUUGCAAGUUGAGAGUGGAAGCAGGGGGCUCAACCCCCUGACUGCUCCCAAAACUGUAAAACUUGAGUAUGGGAGAGGCAGGCGGAAUUCCUAGUGUAGCGGUGAAAUGCUUAGAUAUUAGGAAGAACACCGGUGGCGAAGGCGGCCUGCUGGACCAAAACUGACGCUGAGGCUCGAAAGCGUGGGUAGCAAACAGGAUUAGAUACCCCCGUAGUCCCUGUCUCUUAUAC